CAGCGGCAGCUACACAUGCAAGUCGAGCGGAAACGAUGGAGCUUGCUCCAGGCGUCGAGCGCGGACGGGUGAGUAAUGCAUAGGAAUCUGCCCGGUAGUGGGGGAUAACCUGGGGAAACCCAGGCUAAUACCGCAUACGUCCUACGGGAGAAAGCAGGGGAUCUUCGGACCUUGCGCUAUCGGAUGAGCCUAUGUCGGAUUAGCUUGUUGGUGAGGUAAUGGCUCACCAAGGCGACGAUCCGUAGCUGGUCUGAGAGGAUGAUCAGCCACAUCGGGACUGAGACACGGCCCGAACUCCUACGGGAGGCAGCAGUGGGGAAUAUUGGACAAUGGGCGAAAGCCUGAUCCAGCCAUGCCGCGUGUGUGAAGAAGGCUUUCGGGUUGUAAAGCACUUUCAGUGAGGAAGAAGGCCUUGGGGCUAAUACCCCCGAGGAAGGACAUCACUCACAGAAGAAGCACCGGCUAACUCCGUGCCAGCAGCCGCGGUAAUACGGAGGGUGCGAGCGUUAAUCGGAAUUACUGGGCGUAAAGCGCGCGUAGGCGGCGUGAUAAGCCGGUUGUGAAAGCCCCGGGCUCAACCUGGGAACGGCAUCCGGAAC
Molecule: ribosomal RNA, 599 nt
Filed under: Halomonas ventosae
Lineage: Bacteria; Pseudomonadati; Pseudomonadota; Gammaproteobacteria; Oceanospirillales; Halomonadaceae
Description: bacterial SSU rRNA
Rfam family: Bacterial small subunit ribosomal RNA
Source: RNAcentral